This 407-nucleotide ribosomal RNA is filed under the name uncultured bacterium. Its description in RNAcentral is "bacterial SSU rRNA". It matches the Rfam family "Bacterial small subunit ribosomal RNA", at positions 355 to 775 of the family's 1533-position model. The record is from RNAcentral.
UGGGGAAUCUUGCGCAAUGGGCGAAAGCCUGACGCAGCGACGCCGCGUGAGGGAUGAAGGCUCUCGGGUUGUAAACCUCUUUCAGCGGGGACGAAGCGAAAGUGACGGUACCCGCAGAAGAAGCCCCGGCUAACUACGUGCCAGCAGCCGCGGUAAUACGUAGGGGGCGAGCGUUGUCCGGAUUUAUUGGGCGUAAAGGGCUCGUAGGUGGCUUGGCAAGUCGGACGUAAAAGUCCAGGGCUCAACCCUGGGAUGCGUUCGAUACUGUCAGGCUAGAGGCCGGUAGGGGGAUCUGGAAUUCCUGGUGUAGCGGUGAAAUGCGCAGAUAUCAGGAGGAACACCGGUGGCGAAGGCGGGAUCCUGGGCCGGACCUGACACUGAUGAGCGAAAGCUGGGGGAGCAAACAG